CAGCAGCCGCGGGAAUACGGAGGGGGCUAGCGUUGUUCGGAAUUACUGGGCGUAAAGCGCACGUAGGCGGCUUGGUAAGUUAGAGGUGAAAGCCUGGAGCUCAACUCCAGAAUUGCCUUUAAGACUGCCGAGCUAGCAGGUGAGAGAGGUAAGUGGAAUUCCGAGUGUAGAGGUGAAAUUCGUAGAUAUUCGGAAGAACACCAGUGGCGAAGGCGGCUUACUGGCUCAUACUGGACGCUGAGGUGCGAAAGCGUUGGGAGCAAACAGGAUUAGAUACCCCAGUAGUCCCUGUCUCUUAUAC
Molecule: ribosomal RNA, 301 nt
Filed under: uncultured bacterium
Lineage: Bacteria
Description: partial 16S ribosomal RNA
Rfam family: Bacterial small subunit ribosomal RNA
Source: RNAcentral